Molecule: ribosomal RNA, 544 nt
Filed under: Alteromonas sp.
Lineage: Bacteria; Pseudomonadati; Pseudomonadota; Gammaproteobacteria; Alteromonadales; Alteromonadaceae
Description: bacterial SSU rRNA
Rfam family: Bacterial small subunit ribosomal RNA
Source: RNAcentral
CUGAUGCAGCCAUGCCGCGUGUGUGAAGAAGGCCUUCGGGUUGUAAAGCACUUUCAGUUGUGAGGAAAAGUUAGUAGUUAAUACCUGCUAGCCGUGACGUUAACAACAGAAGAAGCACCGGCUAACUCCGUGCCAGCAGCCGCGGUAAUACGGAGGGUGCGAGCGUUAAUCGGAAUUACUGGGCGUAAAGCGCACGCAGGCGGUUUGUUAAGCUAGAUGUGAAAGCCCCGGGCUCAACCUGGGAUGGUCAUUUAGAACUGGCAGACUAGAGUCUUGGAGAGGGGAGUGGAAUUCCAGGUGUAGCGGUGAAAUGCGUAGAUAUCUGGAGGAACAUCAGUGGCGAAGGCGACUCCCUGGCCAAAGACUGACGCUCAUGUGCGAAAGUGUGGGUAGCGAACAGGAUUAGAUACCCUGGUAGUCCACACCGUAAACGCUGUCUACUAGCUGUGUGUGUCUUUAAGACGUGCGUAGCGAAGCUAACGCGCUAAGUAGACCGCCUGGGGAGUACGGCCGCAAGGUUAAAACUCAAAUGAAAUUUGACGGA